Molecule: ribosomal RNA, 429 nt
Filed under: uncultured bacterium
Lineage: Bacteria
Description: bacterial SSU rRNA
Rfam family: Bacterial small subunit ribosomal RNA
Source: RNAcentral
UGGGGAAUCUUGCACAAUGGGCGAAAGCCUGAUGCAGCAACGCCGCGUGAGUGAAGAAGGUCCUUGGAUUGUAAAGCUCUUUCGGCUGGGGAGAAGGGUCUAAGUUCUAACAGGGCUUAGAUUUGACGGUACCAGAAGAAGAAGCACCGGCUAAUUCCGUGCCAGCAGCCGCGGUAAUACGGAAGGUGCAAGCGUUGUUCGGAAUGACUGGGCGUAAAGCGCACGUAGGUGGGUUUGUAUGUCGGACGUGAAAGCCCUGGGCUUAACCCGGGAACUGCGUCCGAAACUGCAAAUCUUGAAUGCCCAAGAGGUUGGUAGAAUUCCUGGUGUAGGAGUGAAAUCCGUAGAUAUCAGGAGGAAUACCAGAGGCGAAGGCGGCCAACUGGUGGUGCAUUGACACUGAGGUGCGAAAGCGUGGGGAGCAAACAG